This 1143-nucleotide ribosomal RNA is filed under the name Triticum aestivum (bread wheat). RNAcentral describes it as "partial small subunit ribosomal RNA". The record is from RNAcentral. Lineage: Eukaryota; Viridiplantae; Streptophyta; Magnoliopsida; Poales; Poaceae.
AUGGAAGUGACAAGGGACACGGCGCAGUCCGGCUCCGGCGGCCUGGCGGCGCUCGCUGCGAGCCUCGCGAGCCGCCUCGUCGACGACAACGUGGACAACAACCUGGUGUUCUCGCCGCUGUCCAUCUACGCGGCGCUCGCGCUCCUGGCCGCCGGCGUUCGGGGCGCCACCCUUGACGAGAUCCUCGGGGUCCUCGGCGCGCCGUCUCACGCCGCGCUCGACGAGUUCCUCUCCCACGUGGUGGAGGACGUGCUCGAGGACCGUGCCGAGUCUGGCGGGCCGCGCGUGGUGUUCGCGUGCAGCGUGUGGGCCGUCCUCACGUGCCCGCUGAAGCCAGCCUACCACCGCGCCCCCGCGAGCACGUACAAGGCUGAUGCCAGCACCGUGGACUUCUGCAACAAUCCGGAGGCGGCACGGGGUCAGAUCAACGUGUGGGUCGCGCAGGUCACGAGGAAGCUGAUCGGCUCCGUCCUUGGCCCGGGAUCAAUAACGCCGCUCACCCGCGCCAUGCUCAGCAAUGCUAUGUACUUCAAGGGCAAGUGGGAGAAGCCCUUCCGCAAGAAGCGCACGGCCGACAAACUCUUCCACCAGCUCAAUGGCCGCGUCGUGGGCGUGCCCUUCAUGCAGAGCCGGAGCUCCCAGUUCAUCGCCGUGCACGACGGGUUCAAGGUGCUCAAACUCCGGUACCAAAUGGCUCAAGCCCAGCCACCGUCUCGCACUCGCGGGUCACACUGAUGCAUGACAUCUUGCUUCCUGCACAAGCACCUGCCGAAGGAGAAGAUCCACGUUAGGGGGUUCCGGGUGCCCAAGUUCAAGCUGUCCUUUCACAGGAGCGUGGUCAGCAUUAUCAAGAAGCUGGGGCUCCGGUUGCCGUUCAACGAUCAAGUCAAUCUAUCUGUCAUGGUGGGCUUGCCAUUGGUCCUGAGUGACAUCAUCCACAAGGCUGUCAUCGAGGUAAAUGAGGAAGGCACCGAAGCUGCAGCCGUCACAUUGAUGGAUAUGGAAAUUGGAUGUAGUCGAAUACCGUCGCCGCCUCCUCGGGUGGAUUUCGUAGCUGACCAUCCGUUUGCAUACUUCAUAGUGGAAGAGGCGACCGACGCAGUUGUAUUUGUGGGGUACGUCCUCGACCCAUCAGCCAUAUGA